CGCUGGGCUCCUCGCACUCCAGGGGAGAAGGGACACAAUGGAGCCUCAGAGCCAUAGCAGUCUUGUGCAGAACACACAAGUAUGGGUGUCUGCUGGAUGAUCCUAAGUCCUAUCUCCUUUGCCCGGCUGAGCUGUCUGAGGGCAAGGGAGAGGCCCUGGAGCUGGCCUCGGAAAUGCAGAGCUCAGAGCAGGGUGGUGGUGGCUGCACACACGCCUUUGAUCCCAGCACUCAAGAGGUGGAGGCAAGCAGAUCUCUGAGUUUGGGGCCAGCCUGGUCUACAGACUCAUGAUGGCCAGGCAUUGGAGUAGCCAUGCUUUUUCGAGCUGUGGUGGUCGGACACCAUGCAGAAGAGGAGCAGCAGAGGGCCAGAGGCGGAAAGCAUCUUGUCUGAGGCCUGUCCUAUGACACUUCGGUAGCAGGUCAGGUCUGGGUCAGCAUCCUUCCAUCACAGCCCCAUGCAUCUCUUUAUAUCGUGCUGAAGAAGAAGGAAGUGUCUGUCACUGAAUUCACCCAUGAGAACUUGGGAGUAUCUGAUGGGAGAAGGCCCCUUCCUGCCAGCCCUGCCUGCCAAUGCUGCUCACUGGGCCAGGCAGUGUCAGCAACUGCCAGGAGCACACAGUGUUGGCUGGCUGGCAAGAGGCCUCGCCAAUCCCGCCACCUCUACCCUUCCUUGCUUGCCUUGGAUGGCUCUCAGGACAUCCUGACAAGCCUAGGCCACCCUCUUUGCUCUGUUGGCUGUUGCUGCAUAUGCCUGGGUGAGGAUUUACCGUGUUGUGCCCUCCCCCGCAAUGGAAGCCAGUAUCAAGUUAAUGGAAUACAUCUUGCCCCUGGACCAAAGACCCCAGGACCUUAGGAGCCUGCAGCCCACCUCACUCAUCAACCCCGGGACAGAGGUGAAACAAGCAGUAUGGAGCUGGGAUCACUGUGGCAGUGGUUAAGACAAAGUGACACAGAUGAUGCCCAGGUUGAGGGUGAGGCUGGCUGUCGCACAGGGAUGAACAAGUCUAGGGGCUUGUACUAGCCUGUACAUCCCACCUAUGGCCUCCUCAGCAGAUGUGUUUAGGCUCUGAUCAUGCCUCCCUCCGGCUGUGCAGGAUUCCCCUGGAUUCCUUAACCCUCACGGCUUCCUCAGGCAGCUAGGGGAGGACCCAGGCAUCGAAGACCUCAAAGCAAAUCGGCUAAGCUGGAGGGUGACUACUUCAUGGCUGCUCGCCCAGCCAUCCUCACAGGGUACUUGGAUGUCAAGUAAGCGGGUAUGAAAGCAAGCAUGCCUCAGCAGAGGUGUUUGCAGCCCACAGGGUUUCCUCGAGCUCACCUCCGCGCUCGCACUGACUGACGCUUACUUGGAUUUCCCAAGGUCACACCGUCAACACUAUUGGUCCAAGCCACAGUAAAAGAAAGGAACUGGAGGUAGAAGCAGACAGCAUUCGAUGGGACUUCUGCUCUCUGAAGAAUGGGUUCGCAUGAGUACAGCUUCAGAAGAAACCAGAUGCAGGUGACCGUGUGCUUAAUGGGGUGCAAAGGACUAUGGAGCUAAGCAAACCAUGAGAUGGGGAUGAAAAGGCAAAUCCUCCACGGAAAGAGCCAGGAAAGUUCUCAACAGCCUGUUUGUUCUCGUCUCUGCUCAAACCUUGAGUUACAUAUUCACAGGGAAUGCCACUAAGCUGUUGAAAAAAAAGAUCUGAGCCUAUUCUAGUGUCUCCCGCAUCAGACACAGGGGUUGCAGUAUGAAUCCAACCAAGAUAAUUGAUUGAUUAAAGAAACAAUACCAGCCAGCUGUGCUAGCACGCACCUUUAACCCUGCGCUCAGGAGGCAGAGAUAAAAGCCAGAUCUUUGUGAGUUAGAGGACAGCCUGGUCUAUACAGCAACAGCAUGCAUCCCGCUGAAGAAGCAUCCUCCCUACCCCCCCCCCCCGGAAAAAAAAAAGAAGCACGUACUGGAGAAAAAUAGCAAAAUCCAGAAACUACCCAACUUAAUGUGUACAAUGUCCAGAUUGCAAUCCAAAAGCAUUUACUAUGAAAAGAACCAAGAAAGGAGAAUGCAUUCCCAAGACAACAGAGCAUCAGGUGAGACAGCAAAAAACAAUCCAGAUAUAAUUAGCAAACAGGUAAUUUCUAGAAUGGAUUGUAAUUAUACUGAAGGUAAAAGAAAACAUGGGAAAUUAUUAGACAGGACUGGAAAAUGAAAAUGGUGAAAACUGAAAUCCCAAAACUAAAAAUACAAUAUAAGGAAAGAAAAAAAAAAAGAAAGGGAGAGAAGAUCACUCUCUCAUCCUGUAACAACAGGAUGGAGUUGACAGAGGAAAGAGAAAAUGGACUUAAAUAUGAAACAAAGAUAUUAUCCAGUGUAAAGAACAAAGGAACAACCGUGGCUGCCGAGAUGGCUCCGAAGAGCACUUAAGCCACUGGUUCUUCUACUUCUCCUCCAGAGUGCCGGGGUCACAGGUGUGCACCCCCACAACACAUCCAGCUUGUCUUGCACAAACUUUUCAAAAAGGAUGGAGGCAGGAGCAUUUCCUAAUUCAUUUUAGGAGGUUAGCAUUACCCCGAUACCAAAAACAGACAGAGAUCACAAGCAUGCACAGAAAAUCAAAAUUUUCCAUGGAGAGAAGACGUCAGUGGUUACGAGCAGUAGCUGCUCCAAGGGAGGACCCAAGUUCAAUUCUCAGCACCCUCAAGGUCCCUAGCAGCCAUAGAUAACUCCAAUUCCUGGGGACCUAAUGCCCUCUUCUGGCCACUUCUGGCACUGCAUGCAUGCAGUGCACAGACACACCUGCAGGCAAGCAUUCAAGCACGUGAAAUAAUAAUAAACAAAUCUUUUUUAAAAAAUCAGAAUUCUAGAAAAUAAAAUCUAACAAGAUAUCACUAUUUAAAAAGGCAAUACAGCGUGACUAUGUAUCUUUAACCCGGGAAUACAUGACUGCAGUUCAUCAUAUUAAUAAAGAGGAAAA
Molecule: long non-coding RNA, 2952 nt
Organism: Meriones unguiculatus (Mongolian gerbil)
Lineage: Eukaryota; Metazoa; Chordata; Mammalia; Rodentia; Muridae
Exons: 5
Source: RefSeq, a predicted model, not a curated record